This 224-nucleotide unclassified non-coding RNA is filed under the name uncultured fungus. RNAcentral describes it as "sequence contains ITS1, 5.8S rRNA gene". The stretch from base 176 to 224 matches the Rfam family "5.8S ribosomal RNA", at positions 1 to 49 of the family's 154-position model. The record is from RNAcentral. Lineage: Eukaryota; Fungi.
UUUCCGUUGGUGAACCAGCGGAGGGAUCAUUACUGAGUGAGGGCUCCGGCCCGACCUCCAACCCCAUGUGAACCGAAACCUGUUGCUUCGGGGGCGACCCUGCCUUUCGGCGCGGCGCCCCCGGAGGCUCAUCAAACACUGCAUCUUUGCGUCGGAGUUAAAGUAAAUUAAACAAAACUUUCAACAACGGAUCUCUUGGUUCGGGCAUCGAUGAAGAACGCAGC